UUGAAACAUGUUUACAAACAAAAGUUAUUGUGCGCUGGUCAUUAUGCUCAGCACACAAUAAUUUUUGUUUGGAAACAUGUUUU
RNAcentral lists this microRNA precursor (83 nucleotides) under Phlebotomus papatasi. Its description in RNAcentral is "microRNA mir-186". Lineage: Eukaryota; Metazoa; Arthropoda; Insecta; Diptera; Psychodidae. The record is from RNAcentral.